RNAcentral lists this ribosomal RNA (301 nucleotides) under uncultured bacterium. RNAcentral describes it as "partial 16S ribosomal RNA". It matches the Rfam family "Bacterial small subunit ribosomal RNA", at positions 509 to 807 of the family's 1533-position model. The record is from RNAcentral.
CAGUCGCCGCGGUAAUACGUAGGGUGCGAGCGUUGUCCGGAAUUAUUGGGCGUAAAGAGCUUGUAGGCGGUCUGUCGCUUCUGCUGUGAAAACCCGAGGCUCAACCUCGGGCCUGCAGUGGGUACGGGCAGACUAGAGUGCGGUAGGGGAGAACGGAACUCCUGGUGUAGCGGUGGAAUGCGCAGAUAUCAGGAAGAACACCGAUGGCGAAGGCAGUUCUCUGGGCCGUAACUGACGCUGAGAAGCGAAAGCGUGGGGAGCGAACAGGAUUAGAUACCCGAGUAGUCCCUGUCUCUUAUAC